Molecule: long non-coding RNA, 1879 nt
Filed under: Mus musculus (house mouse)
Lineage: Eukaryota; Metazoa; Chordata; Mammalia; Rodentia; Muridae
Description: RIKEN cDNA 4933406C10 gene
Source: RNAcentral
GUUCUGGUUGCUAUGCCCUUUUGUGGCUGUGACUGCCCGCCCUCACAACGGCCCGUUUUCUUCCCAGUGCUCUGAACUUUUGGGCAAAUGUGUCAAGUGUGUACACAGACAAAGCCUCACUUCAAAGCUCGUGUUCAGGGCCCUUAAAGUCAUAGUUAUUGCAAAACUGCGGCCGUCUGGCGAACCUGCCUUAUGUAAGGGUGCUUGAACGUAUGAUUCACCAAACAUUUCCGCAGACAUCGCAAAGUUGUUGGAGCCAGAGUAGGAGAAAGACCACCCAUUUGAGAUCAUGGCUUGACAGGUCUCACAGGACAACUCAUCUCUCCACCUCUAUCCCCGUUUGGCGAGGCCUGUAUUUCGUGCCGUUUUUUUUUGGGGGGGGGCGGGGGAGUGGGGGGGGGUCAAGUUAACUCAUCUUUCAUGAUUUGUCUUAGGGAACACUCCCUCCUGCCACCAGAAUGGGACCAAUCUAGACAUCUCUUCUCUGGCUUCCUUGUGCCUGGCCUUUUUUGGAGGGUUGGGAUAGUGGCCUGUCUUCAUGCAUGGUGAGAUAACACCAACAUCGAAGGAAGAUCUUUGCCACAGAGGAUCCUAGUUCCAGCUCCCAGGUAUCGGCCCCAACGCCUCCUAUCUUGUGGAUCGAGUUCCUGUGGAGGAAGCUAACACAGCGGUAAGCAAAUGUGGACUGACAGAGGACACAGGGCCAUUCGAGAAACUGUCAGAAACUGAGAAUCACCUCAGAACACGCUGAGAAGGAGAGCUAAGGAGGUUCUCUGAAGUCUGGCAUCUGUUCUGCUCGGUUCUGUGUUUCAAGGGUCUGACCCUAAGCCUGGCUUCUUUAAAAAGCAAAACAAAAUGGAAGACGCCCGCCCCGGAGAUGAAUUCUGGGAAGUUAGUCUUUGGGAGAAAGGUCGCUCUCCAGGAAGAAUUUCUGAGCCAGGUGAAACAUUGCUUCAAUCACACAAGAAUGAAACAACCUUCUGACACCCCUACUACCACCACUACCUCCCUUCACAUGAGUGAACUUGGAACACAGGCUGGCCCUGUUUGGACCAUGCUCAUUCUGAGAUCCACAGGCUCAUGGGUGAGCAACAAUGUUGUUAAAAGCAGCCAAUCGUGACUGUGGCCUUUUAACUUCUCAGCUGAGAAAGAAAAGACAGCGGGUGCCUUUAUACUGCAAAACAAGACCUUCUUGAUGAAGAUUUUGUGCAAUGCAUUGUGACCAUACUUAAGGUGCAUCCAGUUAGACAUGCUCAGUUUUCAGUGACCCACAAAGAGGGACAUGACUGUAAAAUGAAACAACUCAAAAUACCUUGGGAUGGAUGGAGCUCGGGGAAGAAGAGCUCAGACAUAGACAGCAGGGAAGGUCACUUAUGCCAAGAUGAAGUGUAAAUAUUUUAUCCAGGGGACGGCAGGGACAGGAUGGGCACAGGCGAGAAUGGUGUGUAUCCACAGCUUCACACAUACCUACUUCUAUCCACGCCUGUAUGUUGGCAUAGAUGUUAUCAGAUUUCUUAAGAGUCUAAUUUUAAAGCCGCUACUGACACCUUUCUGUGGGACAGGAUAAAAAAGAGUGGGCAGCAAGCCUGCAUUUUGAGAAGAAGCCUCUUUGCACCCCACAUUUAAGAUCCCUCUUGGCUGUGAAAGAAAACCAAAGAUACAAAACCACACAGAAGCAGAGCUUAAUGGAUGAUGGUAAGGAUGUUGGAUCAUAGCUGCCCUCUUCCCGCCUCAGGAACCACUCUUUUUGAAUAAAAUCAUUGCCUCCCUGCAUUCCCUUCUAGGUAGCCAUCUCAAUGUGUGGCCCUCAACACUGCAGGUUAACAUUGUCCCUUCUCUUGGAAAUUGUUUGAUAUCCUAUCAAGUAAUUUCUAAUACU